This is a long non-coding RNA of Papaver somniferum (opium poppy), 1303 nucleotides long. RefSeq lists it as uncharacterized. Lineage: Eukaryota; Viridiplantae; Streptophyta; Magnoliopsida; Ranunculales; Papaveraceae. The record is from RefSeq and is a predicted model, not a curated record. The transcript has 6 exons.
UAUCUUCUUGGGCAAUAUAAACAACUCAUUUUAUAACUAGCCAAGUUAGCUAAAAUGGUUUUAUUUAGUAUCAUCUUACUAGAUUGAGCUAAAAUUUUCCUAUCCAGCCUUGUAUUUUUUGUUCCGUUUUUUCUAUUAUACUUUCAGAAAAUUUUAUUAUGGUUUUAUCUACGAAUAGAGGUGUUCCUAGAUAAGAAUCUUUUAGGUCAAUGUGUUUGAUUCUACAAACAGAGGUCUUCUCCUCCGUUAUGAUCGAAGCUUUUGGCAGAUUUCCACCAAAAUUAGUUUCUUUAUUUCAUUGAUUUGUUUUUCAAUCGUAUCAUUCAGUCAUAUAAAAGUUGAAGAGAGAAUUGUUGAGUUUUCUUCCUCUUCGGAGUUUAUACGACUGAGUACUACGAAACCCUGACCCUGAAUCACCGAACUACACGCACAAUUUUACCUGUUUCUUUACCUUCUCAACCCAUAGCUGUUCAGACUUAGCCGUAUAAGGAACCUGAUUUUCGUUCUACCUUCUAAAACCCUACUUCCAUUUUGUUUUUUCUCUAUAGAAGUUGAAGGUGUUUAUUGGCAAUUGAUGGUGUCCUGACUCUUACAAGGCAUGAAAAUCCUGCGGAGCUUGGUGGGAAGAUGAUAGCUAUGGCUCUCUUAGGAAAAUGGUCCCUGAUGGAGUCAACAGAGUAACAUGAGCAUUGGUCCAGAGGCUGCUAUUGAAGCAGAGGCAAUCAAAUCGGUUGAAGCUGGCUCCGGUCAGAAAUGAUGUGACUUGAGUCACUUCCUGAAGGACUACCUGGUGUAGAUGUUUUGGGAGUAUUUUCUUGAGGUACUGGCUUCCUUGUUGGCUUCUUAAUGCUCCAUUUUUGCGGCUAUGCAAUCUACAGCGACAGGAAAUGAGAAGCUAAACAACUAUUGGGAAGCAGAACUAUCCCAAGCAAAUGUUCAGGAAUCUGCACAAUGGACAAGGAUAUUGGGAUCCAGCAGCACCUUCUUCAUUUGGUCUUUGCUUUUUGAGUCACAUAUGUUGAUAGAGCAAAGCCGCAAAAUAAUGAAGAUUAUGAUUGCAUGAUUGAUGGAUGUAAGUGCGAUGUUAUGCGAGAGAGAUGGAGUACUUGGAGAUGUCUCAAGCUGUGACAUGAUUAAGUGGUCAAAAGCUUAUUUAACUCGAAGAGCGACCAACCAAAUUAGACUGGCAGGGUGACAACAGACAGAAUUCAGUUUUAAUGUUCGAUAUGUAAGGUUGCUAGUAUUUAUCUUUCCAUUUGUAUUCAGAGAUUCUAUUUCUUUAAAAAAAAUAAUUAAUGAAGUU